AUCCAGCUGGCGGACGAAUCCCAAAUAGGACGAAAUGCGCAUCCUGGAU
RNAcentral lists this non-coding RNA (49 nucleotides) under Trichobilharzia regenti. Lineage: Eukaryota; Metazoa; Platyhelminthes; Trematoda; Strigeidida; Schistosomatidae. The record is from RNAcentral.